CAGUAGCCGCGGUAACACGGAGGGUGCAAGCGUUAAUCGGAAUUACUGGGCGUAAAGCGCACGCAGGCGGUUUGUUAAGUCAGAUGUGAAAUCCCCGAGCCUAACUUGGGAACUGCAUUUGAAACUGGUAAGCUAGAGUCUUGUAGAGGGGGGUAGAAUUCCAGGUGUAGCGGUGAAAUGCGUAGAGAUCUGGAGGAAUACCGGUGGCGAAGGCGGCCCCCUGGACAAAGACUGACGCUCAGGUGCGAAAGCGUGGGGAGCAAACAGGAUUAGAGACCCGAGUAGUCCCUGUCUCUUAUAC
Molecule: ribosomal RNA, 301 nt
Filed under: uncultured bacterium
Lineage: Bacteria
Description: partial 16S ribosomal RNA
Rfam family: Bacterial small subunit ribosomal RNA
Source: RNAcentral